AUGGCGGCGGCAGAUGCGGCAGUGCGGGUGACCGUAGAGGAGAAAGCCAUCCGCGUCCGCAUUGAGAAGAAACGACAGCGGAGGAACACGUGCGCCCUCGCCCGAGAGCAAAAUCGGGCGGUUUUCCGUGCCAUGGCUGAACUGUCACUGAAGGAGGACAGCGACGGCGAGGACAACUCCGGCGACGAGCAGAUCCGGCUCGAUCCCUACUGCGUCUUUGACCGGUACUUCCGCGAGAAGGACGGCAAGGGCGCUGGGAAAGGCAAAGGGCAGCCGUGUAUGAUCUUUACCACAACACAUGCAAAAAUUUGGUAG
Molecule: ribosomal RNA, 315 nt
Filed under: Triticum aestivum (bread wheat)
Lineage: Eukaryota; Viridiplantae; Streptophyta; Magnoliopsida; Poales; Poaceae
Description: partial small subunit ribosomal RNA
Source: RNAcentral